AUGGCCAAAAAUAAAAGAAAGCUUGCAACACUGCAUUCUUUUUUUGAGAAGAAAAGAAGAACUGAUGAUGUUCCAGAACAGAUUAAUUUGGUUGAUGCCCCUCCCUUGGUAGAUGAAGAAGAGCAAGUAGAUGAACAAGAACAAGUAGAAGAAACACCACAUUUCAGUGAGUUAUAUGUGGAUUUCAUUAAUCCUCGUGCGAAGGAUGGGACUACAGUUGAGCACCAUUAUCGCUGUGACAUUUUCAUGGUUGCUGUUGAUCAGCAAGCACAAGAGCUGAAUUGUAGAUUCAACAAACAAGCAACAGAGCUUCUCAUCCUGUGUACUUCCUUGGACCCAAAAGAUUCAUUCCGUUCAUUUAACAUAUAUAAUAUAUGUUCUCUGGCUUCAAAGUUCUAUCCUGCUGAUUUUAAAGAACAAGAAAUGAAUAAUCUAAUAUGUCAGUUACGACAUUACGAGAAUAUUGUACCCACAAGCCCAAAGUUUCAGAAUUUGACAACUAUAUCAGAACUUUGUCAACGACUUGCAUCUAGUGGAAAAUCAGAUGAAUAUUACUUGAUUGACAGACGCAUUCGGCUUGUUCUUACUUUACCGGUUUCAACGGCAACGACAGAACAUGCAUUUUCUGCCAUGAAACUUGUGAAGACAAGGCUUCGGAAUAAAAUGGAAGAUGGAUUUCUAAGGGACUGCUUGUUAAUUUAUAUUGAAAAGGAGAUUGCUGUUGGAAUAUCAACAGAUGCAAUUAUAGAUGAGUUCGAUGAACCAUCACGUUGA
RNAcentral lists this ribosomal RNA (774 nucleotides) under Triticum aestivum (bread wheat). RNAcentral describes it as "partial small subunit ribosomal RNA". Lineage: Eukaryota; Viridiplantae; Streptophyta; Magnoliopsida; Poales; Poaceae. The record is from RNAcentral.